GCUAAGAAUCUUCCGCAAUGGGCGAAAGCCUGACGGAGCGACGCCGCGUGGAUGAAGAAGGCCGAAAGGUUGUAAAAUCCUUUUCUUGAUGAAGAAUAAAGGUGGGAGGGAAUGCCCACAAGAUGACGUUAGUCAAGGAAUAAGCCCCGGCUAAUUACGUGCCAGCAGCCGCGGUAACACGUAAGGGGCAAGCGUUGUUCGGAUUUAUUGGGCGUAAAGGGCGUGUAGGCGGUUGUCCAAGCCUGGUGUGAAAGGCUCUGGCUUAACCAGAGUUAGGCGCUGGGAACUGGGCGACUAGAGUUCAGGAGGGGAAGCUGGAAUUCCUGGUGUAGGGGUGAAAUCUGUAGAUAUCAGGAAGAACACCGGUGGCGAAGGCGAGCUUCUGGCCAUGGACUGACGCUGAGGCGCGAAAGCGUGGGGAGCAAACAGGAUUAGAUACCCCAGUAGUCC
RNAcentral lists this ribosomal RNA (450 nucleotides) under uncultured bacterium. RNAcentral's name for it is "bacterial SSU rRNA". It matches the Rfam family "Bacterial small subunit ribosomal RNA", at positions 354 to 796 of the family's 1533-position model. The record is from RNAcentral.